This 253-nucleotide ribosomal RNA is filed under the name uncultured bacterium. RNAcentral's name for it is "partial 16S ribosomal RNA". It matches the Rfam family "Bacterial small subunit ribosomal RNA", at positions 524 to 776 of the family's 1533-position model. The record is from RNAcentral.
UACAGAGGUGGCAAGCGUUGUUCGGAAUUACUGGGCGUAAAGGGCGCGUAGGCGGCUUGGUCAGUCCCGUGUGAAAUCCCUCGGCUCAACUGAGGAACUGCACGGGAAACUGCCUGGCUUGAGUUCGGGAGAGGGAAGCGGAAUUCCGGGUGUAGCGGUGAAAUGCGUAGAUAUUGGGAGGAACACCAGUGGCGAAGGCAGCUACCUGGACCGGAACUGACGCUGAGGCGCGAAAGCGUGGGUAGCAAACAGG